GGAAGGGCUUGAGAUCAGACUUGGUAUUUUGCAAGUUACUCUUUCGGGGGUGGCCUCUGCGGUUUACCGGGCCAGCAUCGGUUUGGAGCGGUAGGAUAAUGGCGGGGGAAUGUGGCACGACUUUGGUUGUGUGUUAUAGCCUCUGACGAUACUGCCAGCCUAGACCGAGGACUGCGGUUUUUACCUAGGAUGUUGGCAUAAUGAUCUUAAGUCGGCCCGUCUUGAAACACGGACCAAGGAGUCUAACGUCUAUGCGAGUGUUUGGGUGUAAAACCCGUACGCGUAAUGAAAGUGAACGAAGAUGGGGGCCUGUAUGGGUGCACCAUCGACCGAUCCUGAUGUGUUC
RNAcentral lists this ribosomal RNA (346 nucleotides) under Candida dubliniensis. RNAcentral describes it as "eukaryotic LSU rRNA". It matches the Rfam family "Eukaryotic large subunit ribosomal RNA", at positions 415 to 781 of the family's 3401-position model. The record is from RNAcentral. Lineage: Eukaryota; Fungi; Ascomycota; Pichiomycetes; Serinales; Debaryomycetaceae.